AUACGUAGGUGACAAGCGUUAUCCGGAUUUACUGGGCGUAAAGGGCGUGUAGGCGGUCUUGCAAGUCAGAAGUGAAAUUCCUGAGCUCAACUCGGGCGCUGCUUCUGAAACUGCAGGACUUGAGUGCUGGAGGGGAUAGCGGAAUUCCUAGUGGAGCGGUAAAAUGCGCAGAUAUUAGGAGGAACACCAGUGGCGAAGGCGGCCUGCUGGACGACAACUGACGCUGAGGCGCGAAAGCGUGGGGAGCAAACAGGAUUAGAUACCCUGGUAGUCCACGCUGUAAACGAUGAAUACUAGGUGUGGGGGGACUGACCCCUUCCGUGCCGCAGUUAACACAAUAAGUAUUCCACCUGGGGAGUACGGCCGCAAGGUUGAAACUCAAAUGAAUUGACGGGG
RNAcentral lists this ribosomal RNA (396 nucleotides) under uncultured bacterium. RNAcentral's name for it is "partial 16S ribosomal RNA". It matches the Rfam family "Bacterial small subunit ribosomal RNA", at positions 523 to 918 of the family's 1533-position model. The record is from RNAcentral.